Molecule: long non-coding RNA, 2183 nt
Filed under: Ailuropoda melanoleuca (giant panda)
Lineage: Eukaryota; Metazoa; Chordata; Mammalia; Carnivora; Ursidae
Description: lncRNA (ENSAMEG00000026856.1)
Rfam family: Histone 3' UTR stem-loop (bases 381-426)
Source: RNAcentral
UAAAGGGCUGUUCGAAAAGGAGACCGCCACUUGGAUAGCAAUGUCUGGUCGAGGCAAGGGUGGGAAGGGCCUGGGCAAGGGGGGCGCCAAGCGCCAUCGCAAGGUUCUGCGCGACAACAUCCAGGGGAUCACCAAGCCCGCCAUCCGGCGGCUGGCCCGGCGCGGCGGCGUCAAGCGCAUCUCCGGGCUCAUCUACGAGGAGACCCGCGGGGUGCUUAAGGUGUUCCUGGAGAACGUGAUCCGGGACGCUGUCACCUACACGGAGCACGCCAAGCGCAAGACCGUCACGGCCAUGGACGUGGUCUACGCGCUCAAGCGCCAGGGCCGCACCCUCUAUGGCUUCGGGGGCUGAGCACCCACAGCCCACCGUAUUUCCAAACUCAAAGGCCCUUUUCAGGGCCGCCCACAAAAUCACUUUAAAGGGCUGUUGUGCUUAGUAGAAAUAAGUUUGGGGUAGUGAAAGGUUAGUAAGUUUGAAGUACGUUACCAUUUACGCAGCGAUGUAAUCCAGAUCACGGGAUAUUUACACCACAGCAUACUUAGAGUUUUGCGGAAAACCCAUUUUUUAAAAAAGCGGUCAGUUACACGGUGGCAAUGAAAUGGUUUCAGGACAGAAAUGAGUAUUUUAUGCAAUCGGGAGCAUCCCGACUUAGGUCGUUUUUGGGUCGUUUGGAUGAGGGCAGAGCCGGCAGCGUCCAGGGCGCAAAGCUCUCGGGUCACACCAGCUUCUGUGUAAAAGAAUGUCCUUUGGGGACAAGCUCUGAUUGGAUGAUACUCGCUGUACUGCAGGAAAAAAAUGGGGAGGGUGGGAUUUCAGCACCAUUUUCCUGUUGGCUUAAAGGGUGUAAUAUCUGUCCCCGGAACUGGCAGAAAAAGCUUCGUUGGUUUGCUUUGUUUUUAACCCGCUGUAUGCCAGGCGCUAAAGUGGCGCGAGGAACAAAGGCGCCCAGGAUCGCGGGGGCCAGUUCUCGACGGAUUCGAGCAGUGCCAGGGACCUGCCGGCUUCCAGGCGGGGGUCUGAGGUCGGUGCACUGCUGGGCGCGGCAGUCGGACAAAGGACUCACGGCCUUGCCAGAGAUGUAAGCUCCACGAUGGCGGCGAGUCGCCCCUUUCCGAAGGGACAGUCACUGAAGGCCGGCCCACGAAACCCUCGUUUCUCCCUGCUGGCCGGAUGCCGAGGCUCCCGCAAGAGCUCUGAGACCCGAGGAUAUCCGAGGCACAAGCUGGAAGGAACCAUCCCUGAAAGACAUGGAGCCACGUGCUACUGCCUCGUUGUGACCGGACAUUAAAUGACAUUGUGUAACAGACUGAGAGCCUUCUGUCGUGGCUAGCCACUAAGUUUGGGGGAUCUGUUCCAUAGAACAAAGUAUCAGAGACCUUACUUUGACCUGAGGCUUGUCUAGUGACGCGGACUCCACAUUGCCCUUCACAGUAGCCCUUGAUCCUAGAUCCGGUCUCCUAGUCCAUGAUCAGCAAUGUUCUCCCCCAGCAAAUGCCAGACACCAGAGCUCCCACCCCACACACUGGCUCCUUCAAGCCCUGUGCGCACUGGGGCAGCCUGCCCAGAAUUUCAUUCCUGGGUUCAUCAUCGUGGCCCCUCCUCAUUGCCCUCACUGCUUUAAUCCUGCUUUCUUCUGUUUUUCGGUUUUUUCUCCACGACACUUGCCUUCCAACAGACCAGAGAUUUUCAUUAUCCAUUAUGUUUUCCAGUCUUACCCUCCCAGAGUCCUAGCUCCCUGAGGGAAGGGAUUUUGUGAUUCUGCCCACAUGAACUUGGCACACAGUAGGCAUUCAAAACUGUUAUUGAAUGAAUUGAUUCAUUCAAUCAUUUAUGUAUACUGACUAUGUGCCGGGCCCAGUAACAGCCCCUGGGGAUACCCUGUGACCAAAUCAGAGCUCAGAGCCUAUUGGACAUGACAACUAGAUGAGUAGUAACAAUUAAUUGCAAACGGAGCAAGGAGCAUGCUGAACAUUUGGCGGGAAAAAAAAAAAAAAAAAAAAAAAAAAAAAAAAAAAAAAAAAAAAAAAAAAAAAAAAAAAAAAAAAAAAAAAAAAAAAAAAUUGAAAGAAAGAGAGAAAGAGAAAGAACUCCAGGGACUUAAAAAUGAAUAUAAGAAAGGAAAUGUAACAGUAGUUCACCAUAUGGCUCAGCUGGAAAUAGGGUUCUCUAACCUCAUAGCAAU